AUCCACACGUAUUGCAUGACUCAUAUAUAUGAGACCUACGAGACCUUAACAGCAACAUUCUGAGGUUUCAAAGAAUUGGACUUUUAUGUUGUGUUUGGUUGGGGGAUUUAGAGAGGGAUUUGGAAAGAAAAAGGGAAAAGGUGUGUGAAACUAUGUGAAGUAUAGGCAUGAUUUAUUCACAUUUCAUCUAUUUUUUCUAUUUUCCUUUCCAAAUCACUCCCUAAAUCCCCAACCAAACACAACAUUAAAAAAUUGGGGGUAUAAUGCAAGGGCCAUAUAUUAGCUUGGUUGAGAAAGUCUUACUGGUUUAUAUAGGAUUAUUCUACAAAUCAUUCAACAUUAUAAUCAGUUGGGUUUUGAAAAUUGAAUCAGUUGCAUUCAGGAUCCAAGGCCAAAACUGUUGGAGGGACUCAAAAAUCAAAACUGGACUUCUACCACUGUGAGUAAUUGAAAAUGCACACCAACUGUUUGAUUUUUUGUCUCUGUGACAAAUGCUUCAUGUUUCUGGGUACAACACGUGCAGAUCCUUCACUGUCGUUAUCACCAGCUGCAAGAAAGCAAAAAGGUUAAUGGGCAGAACAAGUACAGGGCAAAUUACGGCUAGUCAUCGAUUAUUAUGAGUUUCUAAGAAGAGAAUGGGAGAGAGAAAAACAUUGAAGAGUACGUACCUCAUUUGCAGAAGCAGAGCCGACACAUGGAGGUAGGUCAAUUAAGUCCCUAAAAGUAAGAAUCUUUUUCCUAAGCUCUUCCAUUUUAAGGAAUACACUGGUCGCACUGUUGGAAUUGUGCACUUUAGAGCCUUUGAAUAACUUGAGAUUCCUCAAUAUAUUUGACCUCUUGGUUGUCGCCACUGGCGACUCCUUUCCCUGUCGAUAUUGUUAGCUAAUAGUUAUACUUGGUAGCCAUUUGAUCUCGAGUUUAAGAAUUUACAUAACCUAAACUUUCUCUUCUGUUUUUUCUAUUUUUUCAGAAUUUUGUCAUGUACUUUUGUUUAAUGAUCAAAUAUUGAAUCAUGAAGCCAAUUUUGUGAGUUGAAGAUCAUAGUUCAUUUAUUUAUUUUGGAUUGAUAAUCAUUUUCACCAAAUAUAUGUAUCAACUGAGGAUAUAUAGAUUACGUGGAUUGUUAGUUUUCUGCAAAUGAGAUUAUACAUAACAAGGAUUUUCUUGUGGACUAGGUUAUUUUGAUUGCAAUUUGCUAUUAUUUGAGGUUUUAUAUCUCUUGAUAUGUACUAAAAGCAAUAGAUCAUUAGAGAGAAAUUAGUUUCAUCCAAAUAUUUAAGAAAAGACAAGCUAAAGUUUGUCACGAAACACAUAAAGAAGAACUUUCAGGCUUCUCAAAACUAAAGCAGCACUAGCAUAGAAACAUGACACAAUAUGGACAGGCCAACAUGACAAUUUUGAAUGCUGAAAGGAUUGCUUAUUCAUUAAAGGAAAAAGGGCAAUCAAGAAAAACUUUAAACAUGGUAUUGAAAAUACCCAAGCAAAGGCAAGCUGAAGUUUGUCAAAAACAUAUAAAGAACUUUCAAGCUGUUCGGAAUUAAGAAGCACGAAUACAGAUACAUUAGACGAUACAUAAACACCAACAUGACAUGAUAAUUUUGAAUGCAACACAUGAACCAAUAGGAUAAAGAACAUAAGCCAUCUUAAUCUUCACAAAAAACGGGUUGCUCAUUCCAAAAAAAAAAAA
Non-coding RNA from Camellia sinensis, 1687 nucleotides. The record is from RefSeq and is a predicted model, not a curated record. Lineage: Eukaryota; Viridiplantae; Streptophyta; Magnoliopsida; Ericales; Theaceae.